AUGAUGGACUAUAGGACAGGACUGCUACUUUUAACUAUCUACUGGGCAGGUGCCUGGAGCCCACAGAUUGACCUGUACAACCUCUGGAUUCUCACUCAGCAGCAUCUGGAUGUGCUGGAUCAGACAGGCUGGAAAGAUACCGGAGAGGGUGUUGAUGGUCAGACUCUGACAGAAUCGGAACCAGUGGUUAAAAAGCCUGGAGAAUCCCACAGAUUGACCUGUACAACCUCUGGAUUCACAUUCAGUAGCUAUAGGAUGGUCUGGGUCAGACAGACUCCUGGAAGAGGACUGGAGUGGAUUGCUUAUAUAAGCACAGCUAGUAUUCCUAUCCAUUACUCCCAGUCAGUCCAGGGUAGAUUCACCAUCUCUAGAGAUGACUCCAGCAGUAAACUCUAUCUACAGAUGAACAGCCUGAAGACUGAGGACACAGCAGUGUAUUACUGUGCCAGAGACACAGUGAGAGACAGUAAUAGGAGACUCAUACAAAAACUACUUCCUCUAUUUACCUCAAAGACUUGGAACAUUCAUUGGUCUUAAUAGCAAUAAUAACAAUUGUCC
Non-coding RNA from Thunnus maccoyii (southern bluefin tuna), 558 nucleotides. NCBI's taxonomy places the organism in Eukaryota, Metazoa, Chordata, Actinopteri, Scombriformes, Scombridae. The record is from the annotation of a RefSeq genome assembly.